RNAcentral lists this unclassified non-coding RNA (20 nucleotides) under Mus musculus (house mouse). Its description in RNAcentral is "oocyte_clustered_small_RNA10941". The record is from RNAcentral. Lineage: Eukaryota; Metazoa; Chordata; Mammalia; Rodentia; Muridae.
UUAGACUGCAGUGAGUGGGA